CGUGUAGGCGGCUUAGCAAGUCGGGUGUGAAAGCCCUCGGCUCAACCGAGGAAGUGCGCCCGAAACUGCUGAGCUUGAGUACCGGAGAGGAUGGCGGAAUUCCCCAAGUAGAGGUGAAAUUCGUAGAUAUGGGGAGGAACACCGGUGGCGAAGGCGGCCAUCUGGACGGAUACUGACGCUGAGACGCGAAAGCGUGGGGAGCAAACAGGAUUAGAUACCCUGGUAGUCCACGCCGUAAACGAUGAUUACUAGGUGUAGGGGACGCAGGUCUUCUGUGCCGGAGCAAACGCAAUAAGUAAUCCGCCUGGGGAGUACGGCCACAAGGUUGAA
RNAcentral lists this ribosomal RNA (330 nucleotides) under uncultured bacterium. RNAcentral's name for it is "bacterial SSU rRNA". It matches the Rfam family "Bacterial small subunit ribosomal RNA", at positions 568 to 898 of the family's 1533-position model. The record is from RNAcentral.